RNAcentral lists this ribosomal RNA (406 nucleotides) under uncultured bacterium. Its description in RNAcentral is "partial 16S ribosomal RNA". It matches the Rfam family "Bacterial small subunit ribosomal RNA", at positions 29 to 526 of the family's 1533-position model. The record is from RNAcentral.
AUUGAACGCUGGCGGCAGGCCUAACACAUGCAAGUCGAACGAGUGGCGGACGGGUGAGAAAUGUCUGGGACACUGCCAGAUGGAGGGGGAUAACUAGUGGAAGCGGUAGCUAAUACCGUAUACCAUGAGAAGUGCCCAGAUGGGAUGAGCUUGUGGGUGGGGUAACGGCUCACCAAGGCGAAGAUCCCUAGCUGGUUUGAGAGGAUGACCAGCCACACUGGGACUGAGACACGGGCCAGACUCCUACGGGAGGCAGCAGUGGGGAAUAUUGCACAAUGGGCGCAAGCCUGAUGCAGCCAUGCCGCGUGUAUGAAGAAGGCCCUCGGGUUGUAAAGUACUUUCAGCGGGGAGGCGUUACCCGCAGAAGAAGCACCGGCUAACUCCGUGCCAGCAGCCGCGGUAAUUC